GAUGAAGAACGUAGCAAAAUGCGAUAAGUAAUGUGAAUUGCAGAAUUCAGUGAAUCAUCGAAUCUUUGAACGCACAUUGCGCCCGCCAGUAUUCUGGCGGGCAUGCCUGUUCGAGCGUCAUUUCAACCCUCAAGCCCCCGGGUUUGGUGUUGGGGAUCGGGCUGUACUCCAGCCCGGCCCCGAAAUCUAGUGGCGGUCUCGCUGCAGCCUCCAUUGCGUAGUAGCUAACACCUCGCAACUGGAACGCGGCGCGGCCAAGCCGUUAAACCCCCAACUUCUGAAUGUUGACCUCGGAUCAGGUAGGAAUACCCGCUGAACUUAAGCAUAUCAAUAAGCGGAGGA
Molecule: unclassified non-coding RNA, 342 nt
Filed under: soil metagenome
Description: partial contains 5.8S ribosomal RNA, internal transcribed spacer 2, and large subunit ribosomal RNA
Rfam family: 5.8S ribosomal RNA (bases 1-120)
Source: RNAcentral